RNAcentral lists this non-coding RNA (29 nucleotides) under Mus musculus (house mouse). Lineage: Eukaryota; Metazoa; Chordata; Mammalia; Rodentia; Muridae. The record is from RNAcentral.
UGAGACGCUGCAAGAAUGAGGCUCCUGAU